AAUCAACGCUGGCGGCGUGCCUAACACAUGCAAGUCGAACGCGAAAGCCCGCAAGGGUGAGUAGAGUGGCGCACGGGUGAGUAACACGUGGACAACCUGCCUUCGAGUGGGGAAGUAACCUUCCGAAAGGAGGGCUAAUACCGCAUAACACCUCGGGACACAAGUUCUGGGGUUGAAAAGAGCAAUUUGCUCGAAGAGGGGUCCGCGCCUGAUUAGCUAGUUGGUGAGGUAACGGCUCACCAAGGCUUCGAUCAGUAGCCGUCCUGAGAGGGAGCACGGCCACACUGGAACUGAGACACGGUCCAGACUCCUACGGGAGGCAGCAGUGGGG
RNAcentral lists this ribosomal RNA (331 nucleotides) under uncultured bacterium. RNAcentral's name for it is "bacterial SSU rRNA". It matches the Rfam family "Bacterial small subunit ribosomal RNA", at positions 32 to 359 of the family's 1533-position model. The record is from RNAcentral.